AUUGAACGCUGGCGGAAUGCUUUACACAUGCAAGUCGAACGGUAGAGGGGGCAACCCCUCGAGAGUGGCGAACGGGUGAGUAAUAUAUCGGAACGUGCCCAGUCGUGUGGGAUAACGUAGCGAAAGUUACGCUAAUACCGCAUACGAUCUAAGGAUGAAAGCGGGGGAUCGCAAGACCUCGCGCGAUUGGAGCGGCGGAUAUCAGAUUAGGUAGUUGGUGGGGUAAAGGCUCACCAAGCCAACGAUCUGUAGCUGGUCUGAGAGGACGACCAGCCACACUGGAACUGAGACACGGUCCAGACUCCUACGGGAGGCAGCAGUGGGGAAUUUUGGACAAUGGACGCAAGUCUGAUCCAGCCAUUCCGCGUGCAGGAUGAAGGCCCUCGGGUUGUAAACUGCUUUUGUACGGAACGAAAAGGUCUCUCUUAAUACGGGGGACUCAUGACGGUACCGUAAGAAUAAGCACCGGCUAACUACGUGCCAGCAGCCGCCGUAA
Molecule: ribosomal RNA, 496 nt
Filed under: uncultured bacterium
Lineage: Bacteria
Description: partial 16S ribosomal RNA
Rfam family: Bacterial small subunit ribosomal RNA
Source: RNAcentral